GGAGGGGUGGCAGAGUGGUCGAAUGCACUGGUCUUGAAAACCAGCGUACCGCAAGGUACCGUGGGUUCGAAUCCCACCCCCUCCG
RNAcentral lists this transfer RNA (85 nucleotides) under Rhodothermaceae bacterium RA. It matches the Rfam family "tRNA". Rfam says of the family: Transfer RNA (tRNA) molecules are approximately 80 nucleotides in length. Their secondary structure includes four short double-helical elements and three loops (D, anti-codon, and T loops). The record is from Rfam by way of RNAcentral. Lineage: Bacteria; Pseudomonadati; Rhodothermota; Rhodothermia; Rhodothermales; Rhodothermaceae.